RNAcentral lists this ribosomal RNA (402 nucleotides) under uncultured bacterium. RNAcentral describes it as "bacterial SSU rRNA". It matches the Rfam family "Bacterial small subunit ribosomal RNA", at positions 30 to 438 of the family's 1533-position model. The record is from RNAcentral.
AUUGAACACUGGCGGCAUGCUUUACACAUGCAAGUCGAACGGUAACAGGGAGCUUGCUCCGCUGACGAGUGGCGAACGGGUGAGUAAUGCAUCGGAACGUACCCAGUCGUGGGGGAUAACGUAGCGAAAGUUACGCUAAUACCGCAUACGUCCUGAGGGAGAAAGCGGGGGACCGUAAGGCCUCGCGCGAUUGGAGCGGCCGAUGUCGGAUUAGCUAGUUGGUAGGGUAAAGGCCUACCAAGGCGACGAUCCGUAGCGGGUCUGAGAGGAUGAUCCGCCACACUGGGACUGAGACACGGCCCAGACUCCUACGGGAGGCAGCAGUGGGAUUUGGACAAUGGGCGAAAGCCUGAUCCAGCCAUGCCGCGUGAGUGAAGAAGGCUUCGGUGUAAGCGUCUUCUA